AUUGCCCUAGUAACGGCGAGUGAAGCGGCAACAGCUCAAAUUUGAAAUCUGGUCCUCUUUGGGGGGUCCGAGUUGUAAUUUGCAGAGGGUGCUUUGGCAUAGGCGGCGGUCUAAGUUCCUUGGAACAGGACAUCGCAGAGGGUGAGAAUCCCGUACGUGGGCGCCUGCCUUUGCCGUGUAAAGCCCCUUCGACGAGUCGAGUUGUUUGGGAAUGCAGCUCUAAAUGGGAGGUAAAUUUCUUCUAAAGCUAAAUACCGGCCAGAGACCGAUAGCGCACAAGUAGAGUGAUCGAAAGAUGAAAAGUACUUUGGAAAGAGAGUCAAACAGCACGUGAAAUUGUUGAAAGGGAAGCGCUUGCAGCCAGACUUGCCCGUAGUUGCUCACCCAGGCUCUUGCCCGGGGCACUCUUCUGCGGGCAGGCCAGCAUCAGUUUGGGCGGUUGGAUAAAGGCCUCUGUCACGUAUCUCCCUUCGGAGUGACCUUAUAGGGGAGGCGCAAUGCAACCAGCCCGGACUGAGGUCCGCGCAUCUGCUAGGAUGCUGGCGUAAUGGCUGUAAGCGGCCCGUCUUGAAACACGGACCAAGGAGUCUAACAUCUAUGCGAGUGUUUGGGUGUCAAGCCCGGGCGCGCAAUGAAAGUGAACGGAGGUGGGAACCCUUCGGGGUGCACCAUCGGCCGAUCCUGAUGUCUUCGGAUGGAUUUGAGUAAGAGCAUAGCUGUUGGGACCCGAAAGAUGGUGAACUAUGCUUGAAUAGGGUGAAGCCAGAGGAAACUCUGGUGGAGGCUCGCAGCGGUUCUGACGUGCAAAUCGAUCGUCAAAUUUGGGCAUAGGGGCGAAAGACUAAUCGAACCAU
RNAcentral lists this ribosomal RNA (854 nucleotides) under Laburnicola muriformis. RNAcentral describes it as "eukaryotic LSU rRNA". It matches the Rfam family "Eukaryotic large subunit ribosomal RNA", at positions 74 to 943 of the family's 3401-position model. The record is from RNAcentral. Lineage: Eukaryota; Fungi; Ascomycota; Dothideomycetes; Pleosporales; Didymosphaeriaceae.